AACGAACGCUGGCGGCAUGCCUAACACAUGCAAGUCGAACGAGACCUUCGGGUCUAGUGGCGCACGGGUGCGUAACGCGUGGGAACCUGCCCUUAGGUUCGGAAUAACUCCCCGAAAGGGGUGCUAAUACCGGAUAAUGUCUUCGGACCAAAGAUUUAUCGCCUUUGGCUGGGCCCGCGUUGGAUUAGCUAGUUGGUAGGGUAAAAGCCUACCAAGGCGACGAUCCAUAGCUGGUCGGAGAGGAUGAUCAGCCACACUGGGACUGAGACACGGCCCAGACUCCUACGGGAGGCAGCAGUGGGGAAUAUUGGACAAUGGGCGAAAGCCUGAUCCAGCAAUGCCGCGUGAGUGAUGAAGGCCUUAGGGUUGUAAAGCUCUUUUACCCGGGAUGAUAAUGACAGUACCGGGAGAAUAAGCUCCGGCUAACUCCGUG
This 433-nucleotide ribosomal RNA is filed under the name uncultured bacterium. RNAcentral describes it as "partial 16S ribosomal RNA". It matches the Rfam family "Bacterial small subunit ribosomal RNA", at positions 29 to 507 of the family's 1533-position model. The record is from RNAcentral.